This 2241-nucleotide long non-coding RNA is filed under the name Oncorhynchus kisutch (coho salmon). RNAcentral's name for it is "lncRNA (ENSOKIG00005036020.1)". Lineage: Eukaryota; Metazoa; Chordata; Actinopteri; Salmoniformes; Salmonidae. The record is from RNAcentral.
UUAGAGGGAAGGGGGUGAAGGAGUGAUUACUCUUUCUCUCUGCAUCUCUCCCUCUUCUGCAAUCUCUUCCAAACUUUUUGAAGACUUCAUCUCCUCCCUCUAUCCCUCUCUCCUCCUCCCUCUAUCCCUCUCUCCUCCUCUGUCUUCUCCCUUCUCCCUCUAUUCCUCUCUCCUCCUCCCUCUAUCCCUCUCUCCUCCUCUGUCUUCUCCCUUCUCCCUCUAGCCCUCUUUCCUCCUCUGUCUUCUCCCUCUAUUCCUCUCUCCUCCUCUGUCUUCUCCCUUCUCCCUCUCCCCUCCUCCCUCUAUCCCCCUCUCCUCCUCUGUCUUCUCCCUCCUCCCUCUAUCCAUCUCUCCUCCUCUGUCUUCUCCCUCUAUCCAUCUCUCCUCCACUGUCUUUCCCUUCUCCCUCUCUCCUCCUCUGUCUUCUCCCUCUAUCCAUCUCUCCUCCUCUGUCUUUCCCUUCUCCCUCUAUCCAUCUCUCCUCCACUGUCUUCUCCCUUCUCCCUCUCUCCUCAUUUGUCUUCUCCCUUCUCCCUCUCCCCUCUCCCCUCCUCCCACUAUCCCCUCUCCUCCUCUGUCUUCUCCCUUCUCCCUCUAUCCCUCUCUCCUCCUCCCUCUAUCCCUCUCUCCUCCUCUGUUUUCUCCCUUCUCCCUCUAUCCAUCUCUCCUCCUCCCUCUAUCCAUCUCUCCUCCACUGUCUUUUCCCUUCUCCCUCUAUCCAUCUCUCCUCCACUGUCUUCUCCCUCUAUCCCUCUCUACUCUGUCUUCUCCCUUCUCCCUCUAUUCCUCUCUCCUCCUCUGUCUUCUCCCUUCUCCCUCUCUCCUCAUCUGUCUUCUCCCUUCUCCCUCUCCCCUCCUCCCUCUAUCCCCCUCUCCUCCUCUGCCUUCUCCCUUCUCCCUCUAUCCCCCUCUCCUCCUCUGCCUUCUCCCUUCUCCCUCUAUCCCCCUCUCCUCCUCUGCCUUCUCCCUUCUCCCUCUAUCCCUCUCUCCUCCUCCCUCUAUCCCUCUCUCCUCCUCUGUCUUCUCCCUUCUCCCUCUAUUCCUCUCUCCUCCUCCCUCUAUCCCUCUCUCCUCCUCUGUCUUCUCCCUUCUCCCUCUAGCCCUCUUUCCUCCUCUGUCUUCUCCCUCUAUUCCUCUCUCCUCCUCUGUCUUCUCCCUUCUCCCUCUCCCCUCCUCCCUCUAUCCCCCUCUCCUCCUCUGUCUUCUCCCUCCUCCCUCUAUCCAUCUCUCCUCCUCUGUCUUCUCCCUCUAUCCAUCUCUCCUCCACUGUCUUUCCCUUCUCCCUCUCUCCUCCUCUGUCUUCUCCCUCUAUCCAUCUCUCCUCCUCUGUCUUUCCCUUCUCCCUCUAUCCAUCUCUCCUCCACUGUCUUCUCCCUUCUCCCUCUCUCCUCAUUUGUCUUCUCCCUUCUCCCUCUCCCCUCUCCCCUCCUCCCACUAUCCCCUCUCCUCCUCUGUCUUCUCCCUUCUCCCUCUAUCCCUCUCUCCUCCUCCCUCUAUCCCUCUCUCCUCCUCUGUUUUCUCCCUUCUCCCUCUAUCCAUCUCUCCUCCUCCCUCUAUCCAUCUCUCCUCCACUGUCUUUUCCCUUCUCCCUCUAUCCAUCUCUCCUCCACUGUCUUCUCCCUCUAUCCCUCUCUACUCUGUCUUCUCCCUUCUCCCUCUAUUCCUCUCUCCUCCUCUGUCUUCUCCCUUCUCCCUCUCUCCUCAUCUGUCUUCUCCCUUCUCCCUCUCCCCUCCUCCCUCUAUCCCCCUCUCCUCCUCUGCCUUCUCCCUUCUCCCUCUAUCCCCCUCUCCUCCUCUGCCUUCUCCCUUCUCCCUCUAUCCCCCUCUCCUCCUCUGCCUUCUCCCUUCUCCCUCUAUCCCCCUCUCCUCCUCUGCCUUCUCCCUUCUCCCUCUAUCCCCCUCUCCUCCUCUGCCUUCUCCCUUCUCCCUCUAUCCCCCUCUCCUACUCUGCCUUCUCCCUUCUCCCUCUAUCCCCCUCUCCUCCUCUGCCUUCUCCCUUCUCCCUCUAUCCCCCUCUCCUCCUCUGCCUUCUCCCUUCUCCCUCUAUCCCUCUCUCCUCCUCUGCCUUCUCCCUUCUCCCUCUAUCCCCCUCUCCUCCUCUGCCUUCUCCCUUCUCCCUCUAUCCCUCUCUCCUCCUCUGCCUUCUCCCUUCUCCCUCUCUCCUCCUCUAUCUUAGGUAAAAAUCUAGAUUCAGCUGAAUCUAGUUGUCUACCCCUCCCUGACCAGCCUCUCAGCUGAAUC